CCCUUAGAUGUUCUGGGCCGCACGCGCGCUACACUGUUCGACGCAGCGAGUCUUAACCUUGACCGAAAGGUUUGGGUAAUCUUCAGCAAAGUCGAACGUGAUGGGGAUCGAUCAUUGCAAUUAUUGAUCGUGAACGAGGAAUUCCUAGUAAGCGCGAGUCAUCAGCUCGUGCUGAUUACGUCCCUGCCCUUUGUACACACCGCCCGUCGCUCCUACCGAUUGAGUGUUCCGGUGAAUAAUUCGGACUGCGGCUGAUUGGGGACUCUUCAGUCGGCUGUGGAAAGUCUAGUGAACCUUAACACUUAGAGGAAGGAGAAGUCGUAACA
RNAcentral lists this ribosomal RNA (326 nucleotides) under uncultured eukaryote. RNAcentral's name for it is "partial 18S ribosomal RNA". It matches the Rfam family "Eukaryotic small subunit ribosomal RNA", at positions 1470 to 1796 of the family's 1831-position model. The record is from RNAcentral.